RNAcentral lists this long non-coding RNA (471 nucleotides) under Nicotiana benthamiana. Its description in RNAcentral is "long non-coding RNA (NBEN_LNC033624)". The record is from RNAcentral. Lineage: Eukaryota; Viridiplantae; Streptophyta; Magnoliopsida; Solanales; Solanaceae.
CUUAGUGAAUCGGCUCUGACGCUCUUUGCGUCCGUGGGAUCAACUCCACCUUAGAGAUCUUCCAGAUCCGCAACUACAAGCUCUCGAGUGGGAACAGGAUCUCCUACUGCUGAUAGGUAUGCAAUCGAAGAAUCUGGCGAGAUAUGGAGAGGAUAUGCUCGAACCGGACCGCAUCUCCAUUUGCACAUGGAUAAUGUGCUGCCCCUUUCUUUUCUUCCAAACUCGGUCGAAUACGUCGUUAACCUUUGUGGUGGAUCGACGAGAGUGCGCCUAGCCAGGAGUGUGGUUGGUGUCACCUCCCGUGCGCUAGCUCUGCCUUUGCCGGAUCUUUAUUCGCCCACUCCUUCACAGAGCGAUGACUAAGAGCCGGGAAUUCAGAAUUCUCUUAGUAGAGCCUGAAAGUAGCCCUUGGAUCGAUUCCUACCACGGACGGGUAUACAUUUCAUCCAUAUCGCCGGCCUCACAUGGACG